UCUUCAUCCUCAUAGAUUGUUUUUGCUGCAGUCACUGGCCCAUAAGCGUUCUUCAUAACCCCACUAAAAUCAUGCAACCAUUGUGGCUGCUCAUUUGGGUGAAGUUCUAUAUCUGCCAUCCGAUCAGAAGGAGGACUAACAGCCAAAUAACAAUCAUCAUCACUUCCAUGUGGGAAAAAGUCCUUCCUUCUUUUGCUGCUGACAGGUGAUAUGUCUGUCCCAUCACCGUUGCUAUGGCUGGAUGGCUGAGUUGACAAAUUGAGCCCAGACCCAUUGAGCAGCUUGUUUGAGUGAGAAUUAG
Molecule: unclassified non-coding RNA, 301 nt
Filed under: Hevea brasiliensis (rubber tree)
Lineage: Eukaryota; Viridiplantae; Streptophyta; Magnoliopsida; Malpighiales; Euphorbiaceae
Source: RNAcentral